Molecule: transfer RNA, 72 nt
Filed under: Mnemiopsis leidyi (sea walnut)
Lineage: Eukaryota; Metazoa; Ctenophora; Tentaculata; Lobata; Bolinopsidae
Description: tRNA-Gln for anticodon CUG
Rfam family: tRNA
About the family: Transfer RNA (tRNA) molecules are approximately 80 nucleotides in length.
Source: RNAcentral
GGUCUCAUGGUGUAGUGGUUAGCACUCAGGACUCUGAAUCCUGCGACCCGAGUUCGACUCUCGGUGAGACCU